AAACUUAAAGGAAUUGACCGGGGGCCCGGCACAAGCGGUGGAGGCAUGUGGUUUAAUUCGAAGCAGCGCGAAGAACCUUACCAGGCCUUGACAUGCAGAGAACUUCCAGAGAUGGAUUGGUGCCUUCGGGAACUCUGACACAGGUGCUGCAUGGCUGUCGUCAGCUCGUGUCGUGAGAUGUUGGGUUAAGUCCCGCAACGAGCGCAACCCUCGACUUUAGUUACCAUCAUUAAGUUGGGUACUUUAAAGUAACCGCCGGUGAUAAGCCGGAGGAAGGUGGGGAUGACGUCAAGUCCUCAUGGCCCUUACGCGCUGGGCUACACACGUGCUACAAUGGCAAGUACAGUGGGCAGCAAUCCCGCGAGGGUGAGCUAAUCUCCAAAACUUGUCUCAGUUCGGAUUGGAGUCUGCAACUCGACUCCAUGAAGUUGGAAUCGCUAGUAAUCGUGGAUCAGCAUGCCACGGUGAAUACGUUCCCGGGCCUU
Molecule: ribosomal RNA, 485 nt
Filed under: uncultured Sphingomonas sp.
Lineage: Bacteria; Pseudomonadati; Pseudomonadota; Alphaproteobacteria; Sphingomonadales; Sphingomonadaceae
Description: partial 16S ribosomal RNA
Rfam family: Bacterial small subunit ribosomal RNA
Source: RNAcentral